RNAcentral lists this transfer RNA (60 nucleotides) under Proasellus beticus. RNAcentral describes it as "transfert RNA-H(CAC)". The record is from RNAcentral. Lineage: Eukaryota; Metazoa; Arthropoda; Malacostraca; Isopoda; Asellidae.
GUCUUGAUAGUUUAUAAAAACACCAACAUGUGGAGUUGGAGAUGAUAUUUUCUUAGGACA